GUCGGCUUACAAAUUUGAUGUUUGGGCUUGGUUAGGAUAUUGUAGGACAAGAAAGGUAGGCUUGAAACAAAGAAAUGAAAAGGGUUGGGUGUGGCAGAAUAGUAGAAGAUAGUAAUGACAGAAAUUUUUUUUCAAUAAAUUUUUCACAACUUUUUUUUCAAUGAAAAGGCUUACAAACUUUUUUUCAAUAAAUUUUUUUUCACAACUUGAUAUCCAAUCUUUUUGAGUUUGAAUGGAAAUAUUUUUUUUAAUUUUUUUUCGAAUUUUUUUUCAAAUUUUUUUCAAAGAAACUACUAUACCGUAAUGCCGAAAGCGUCGAUUCUUACUCCAAAUUUGCUAGCUCUGAUACCAAAUGAUACGAUCUCGUUUUGUGAUUGAUUCGAGUCGUUUGUUUCCCGAUUGUGAAUUUGAGUAAGGUAAGUUCGUUUCUACAAAAUAGAAGAAAGGUUACAAAC
Molecule: long non-coding RNA, 455 nt
Filed under: Gossypium raimondii (Peruvian cotton)
Lineage: Eukaryota; Viridiplantae; Streptophyta; Magnoliopsida; Malvales; Malvaceae
Description: long non-coding RNA (GRAI_LNC004650)
Source: RNAcentral